Long non-coding RNA from Gallus gallus (chicken), 6308 nucleotides. NCBI's taxonomy places the organism in Eukaryota, Metazoa, Chordata, Aves, Galliformes, Phasianidae. The record is from Ensembl.
GUGAAUAGGUGUGUGCAGACGUGUGGCCAUGUAGCUUGCUUUGGUUGGCUCCAUGGAUGCCACACAUAAAUGUGAUAUUUUGUGGCGACAGGAAAACUAUUAUUAGUCCAGUGUGUCAGACUGCACGCUGGAGGCAGUGUGUUUGAUGAGCUUAAUUCCCUGCUGUCUUGAAUAAAAAACUGGUGAGCAGUGUGAGGCAUUCUGUUGAGCAGGGGAGAGGAGACCUGAUAACAGGGAGUUGUUAGAAGGCGGGGAAAUGUCCCACUGCCUUGAGUUAGAGGUGAAAACGCAUCACUGCCACCUUUGCCCCCUGUACAUGGAGGACAAGGAGACGUCAUUUCCACCUGAUGCAGGGGACUCAAAAGCAUAGAUGGAAAACUGAAGGAUAAUUAAUGGUUUGCCCAUUUAGCUACCACGUCCUCUUCAUCACAACUUCAGUCAGAAAUGUUUGCUCCAGAAGGACAGCACAGAAAUCAUCUGAUUGCAGUAGAUAGGAAUCUCACGGAAUGUGCUGCCCCAUAAUUAAGUGCAUGUUUUUUUCCCUCUCUGAAAUAAUGCAACGUCCUUCAGAUACAGUUUUGCUUUCCUCUGUCCCUGCCCAAGGAGAGGUGCAGGCAUUUCCACUCACCUGGAAGGAAGGUGGCUUUAGGUGUGUGUGAAGCCCAGAGGGGAGAAACAGGAGCCCACUGGGAGUUGCUUAGGGCGCUCUGCUCUACCAGGCUGAGCUGAAAGGCACUUCUCAAAAGCAUUUGCAUUUCUGAAAGCACACGGAUCAAUCUGUGAGCUGCUGUCUGCUAAAGCACCAGACUUUUCAGAGCAGCGUGCCCAGAAGCGCUGGUAUUUGUGCUGAAAAUGUAAGUGUUCAUACAUGGCACUGCUUGCACUUCUCUCUCUUUAGUUGGGAUGUAAAAAAAAAAAAAAAAAAUACCAUUCUGCCUUUUCUAUUUUACCCAGAGAUCAAAUGUGGUAUCUUGCAACACUGUCACAGAGCCACAUGGAUAGGUGUUCCUCCCGACAGCUGCUCCUGUUGGAGGUAGCAGCUCCCAUGUAGCUGCUUCUGCACGUGGAAACUGCAGUGACAGACAACAAAACCAGGAUGACUUUUAGGCCCAGUAUUUUUAUUGCUGGGCUGGCAGCUGUAACUGCUCCCAGAGUCUGGCUUGCAGGAGAUGUCCUGGAAGCUCUUUGUGCAAUGCACGGAAUAACACAAGCGAGCAAGGCAAAACCAAAAGCAGGAUGCAGCAGUACUGAUGCCACUGAAAGCUUACACAGAGGUGAGAGUCAUUACGGCUUGUGGUCAAAGUUGUUUAUUUUUUUCUUGUCACAGGAUGUCAGACAAUACGAGGCCUUUUAGCAGCAUUUCAGACUUUUUGCUUUCCUUUCGAGUCAACAGAAACUCAGCUGCCUGAAGGUGGGUGAGGCCAAACAGCAGCACAAACCUUCCUCUGGAGGAAGGGACCCGAUCCCACUAACCUGCUCCACUGAGGUGCUGUGCAGCUUCAAUGCCAAGACACUGAUUUGAUAACUGUGGUUUCUUCUUACUGACCUGGCUGGGAAAAGCUGCCUUGUUGCUCAACAGCACUUUGUCUUCAUGAUUUAUAUGUUGCUUGACACAGCUAAGCAUGAUGCUGCAGUGUGAGAACUGCUUGCUGGCCGGCCGGCUGCAUGAGCUUCUCCACAGAAAGGUCUGUGCUGCGAACUGCUUUACUACCAACUGGGGCUUCUGCAAGAAAAGAAUGCAUCAGAAACACAAGAAUGUGUACGUUUGUUGUCAUGUUCCAUUCAAAAUAUGUAAAAGGAAAAAAAACUGUAAUUAACGUUGCAUUUAAGCCUGCUUGACUGUACUAAGCAUGACCUACAAGCCCAAGGAAUGCUACUGAGAUUUCCCUGAAAAAUGUUGAAACCGUUUAUUUGCCUGCUGAAUGGACUGAUUUUGAGAUAUGAGCAUGCUUUCCAUCGAAGAACAUCCUGAAAUUAAUUUCAGUUAAUGCCAUUUAUAUUACUCACUCUUCCCUGUUGAACUGGGCGUCCUGGAUUUCAACAUAUGCUGCUGUGCUGUGUAUUCCAGCUGUGACUGCAGCAGUGCUAAAUGUGUCUGCUUGAUGGAGAGCAUUAGCAGAACUCGGAUGUAGUCCAUCUAUUAGAUGGUUCUCCAGGAGGUGACAUUUCUGCACAGCUCAUCAGUGACAUCCCCUAUUCCCUCUCUUGGCCACAUUUGCAAGCUUCCAAACGUGUUUGUGAAUGUGACCAAAUUCUGGCCCUCGAGAUCAAAGGUCUGUCCACAUCUCUCUCUGGCACUACAGAUCUGGGAUGCUGCAAGCCAGUAUUCAAGAAUCCUGUCAAACUUGAGCAUAUCUGUGAUUUAUAAUGUAGAAAACCAUGUAGACUCUCAUCAUACACUUAGUACUCAACAGUCUACAGAAGCAGAACCUACCAAGAAAGCAAAUGUCAAAAAAGCAGCGUGAGCAAAGUUAAGAAUCUUCCACGUAAGGGGAUAUGUUUCUGGCUUGGAGCCAACCGGGGAGAAGAAGAAAUUCCUAAAUAUAGGAGCCCGGAAGGUGUGAAAGAACUGUUGGAUGCUGAAGUAUGUCAGGGACAAGAUUGGUGAUGAGUAAGAGCUUCCGCUGCUGGAAGCGGAGCGUGCUGGCAGGUAGCAGACUCCGUGAUCUUCUGAACAAGGAACAAAUCCUUGCUGAUCCUCCCCUAGUUGUGACAGUAAGUAUAAAUAUAUGAAAUCACCGAAAGAGGGAGUGAUGCUUGAGCACUCGUUUAAGAGUUCUGGCAACCUGACAGCAGUAAGCUCCACUUCCAAGUGAUGUAGAAGCAAUUUUCACUCUUGUGAAAACUCCCAUUUCUGAAAGUAGAUUGCCAAAAUAACUGAUGUUGAUCAUAUGGGACUGUGUGUCAUGCAUCGCAUAUAUCCGCUUAUUUGCUCUUUUUUGAUUUUGGUUUUGUUUAUCCAAAAAUAAUGGUAUCCUAUUGACAAAGGAUUCUUAUUUUUUUGUCAUAAGCACACAGCAAUACAGUGUUUUUUUCACACAGUACAGAGCCAUCCAUGUGUUUCUGUGUCAAGAAAUGCAGCGAUAACUUCUGCUCUGUCUGCUUACAGGAAUAGCUACUGCUUGAUGCCAGUCUGUAUUAUCUGCACUUCCCUCUGUCACUGAGAUGGGCUGGCUCAGCAGAACAAGUAUGAGCACAUAAGAGUGACAUUUUGUGUUUCUGAGGUAGUAAUAUCUUAAUUACUCUUAAAUCGUGAGCUUUUUGAGCAUUUUAUAUAUUGCAUAUACAUAUACAUUACCUAUUAUAUAUAAUAGAAGGGAAAGAUGAUUACAAGCACAAGAGAAGACACAUCACCUAAGAGUGCUGUAAGAAAAGAUCAGUGUGGAGGUAGAAACUCCUGUGAAGCUUACAGCAGGAAAGACCUGCCAUGGCCAAAUGCACAAGUUUGUUUCCCCUUAACAACUGUCAAUGGUUUUAAGAUUUUGAGAUGUAAUCAGUUACAGAGAUAACAAUCUCAAGGUAAAACAGAUACAGCUGCUGCCGUGGAACUAUCCUUUCAUUUCUUCCCCGUAUUCAGAGCAUUUUCAACAUUAAUUUUCACAUACACUUUAUGUCACAUAAUUUCUCUCUCAACAUUUAUUUAUUUGUACGUGAUUUUUAUGCUUACAGCUUACAAGCUAUCUGCCACAAAAGCUUUAAGAAUGCAGAAUGGAUUUCUCUACGGUCAUGAUCCGAAGGGAAUUUUAUCAGGGAGUUUCUGGGUUUGUUAUGGAGCAAAAGGUAAACAAAGGCACCUACAAGCUGGGAAGAUGGGCUUAGAUUUACCUGGGGCAGAUGGAUGCUGUCCUUACCAUGAACCCACGGCUCUUCUCUCCACCUGCAGAAUGUAUUUGUUCUUCUGUUGUACUGCACUUCUGCACUGAGAAUGAAGAGACUCAGUCCUGCUAAUAGACUGAGAAAAGAGAUUAAGCAUACAAGCUAAGGAUUCUGCAUAUUGAAAUACAGUAAAUCUGAAAAAUACUGGAAGACAUUGGUGGUUUGCUGGAGGUCACCUGGACAGGUACCUGGCAAGGCUAUCUCCCUGUGCCUCAGCUGCUUCACCUGCAAAGUGGGGAUAAUGACAUUCAGUCGCUUUUUAAAACCAUUUUAAGAUGCUCCACUUCCGUGUUCUGUAUCAAAGGGAAAUACUUCACUUUCAUAUACACUUUUGCGUAACUGAUGACAAAGUCCUUACAUUCUCUGCUUUAAGACUGCUGUUUCUCCUUCACCGGCUUCAGGAGCUGGAAUGAAAAAGAACAUCAUUAUUGCGUUUGCUCUCAAUGCCAUAUUAAAUCUCAAUCCUCUCGUCCCCCAGUCUGCAUGUACAGCCAGGAUGGCCCCAGCCCAGGUACAGAAUGCAGCGCUUGCUCUUGUUAAACUUCAUGUGGUUGAUUAUUGCCAGCCCUUCAAUUUGUUGAGAUCUCUGUGCAAGGCAGAUAUCCAAUACCCUACAGUGGUACAGCCAAUUGAGUAUCACAAAGAAAAUCAUAUGAAAGAGACAGUAAUCAAGACCGAAAUAAAUGCAUAUGCAUCUCUGCUCUGUAUUUCAAAUAUGUUUUGAAAACACGCUACAUUAAGAAACCCAAACACAUUUCAAUUCAAGUAAUGUUGCUUUUACAACCAUCGAGAGAAAAUGAGAUGUGGUAGAACUCUGCCACUUCCCAAGCAGCACAAUCACACAGCCUUAGUCUUUUUCUGGCUUCAGUAGUGCUUUCCAUUUCUAUUGAUCUCUGUGAAAUGUGGUCUCUACAAACGGAAAAGGCGCAUUUCCCAGACCAGUGGUGCUGCAGAGUAGCUGGGAUCUAUUAAAUGAAUGGGAAUAUUAAAAUGGAAUGGAAGAAAAGGACCAUCCUUACAAGUGCACAAUAGAUGGUUUAACCAUCAUAAUUAAGUAAAAUGUGAAGUCCAGUCAUAACACACUACAGACGUGAGAAAUGAGAGCUAUCAAGGAGAGUUUCUGUUCUCUGAAAACAACUCCUUGAUAUGUGAAGGAAAGGAUGGAAGGAGGAGCACAGAUGGCACAUUCUUAGCAAAACCCUUUCUCAAGAACAUCCCUACUGAUGUAGCUAGUAACAGUUAAACUGGUUUAUACCCGAAGAAUACAGAGCUGUUCAAUCAUUUGGAUCAGCUUAGUACACUCGACCUUAUGAAUCCUACUUACACCACAAUUGCCUAAAAUUGAAGAAAACAUCUCCUCAGAGGCAAAAAGUGGAAAGAUCUAAGUUUUCUUAGUGCCAUGCAAUGGGUAUGGCAGUCACAAAGGAACUGACACGUGGCAUGGUACAAAAUGAUACACGAUCUUUAAAGAGUAUUUUAUAAAGGCUGUUCUUGGGAGGGAAGAUGCCACUUCUAAGUUGAACAUGAGAAGCCAUUACUGACGAAUGUGGCAUUUGCACCAUGAUAGUUCAGAACAAUGGGAAAUCUGUCACUUGGAAUGUUUGCACAAUUCUAUGCACUAAUACUGCUUUGAAAGGUUUGGCAACAGUGACAGGCAAAAAAAGAAGGAAAGUUAAUGUAAACCUAUCAACAGAAGGAUUUGUUACUUCAAAUUAACAACUGGAUGAAGCUCUGACCGUAACAUUAUAUUGGGAACAAUUUCUCUUUUUGAAGUGCAAUGAAGUACGAAUUAUCAGUAUCUUUCUACCUAUCCCAGCAGCUCACCUGCUGCAGAAAGAGUUGGUUGUUGGCAAUCCUCAUCAAGCAUAACUAACAAAGUCAAUUGACACAACAAGUUCUACGGCUGGCAUUAUUUGGAGAAUGUUUUGUUGGCCCCUAGUGCCUGAGGAUGUAUGAAGGCAUACUCUUUUUGAGCACAUGUAGACUCACAGUCCCUUCAUGCUGGUGUUCACCUACAGACCUAUGACAUUGGCACCUAACCCCAACAGGGAUACGCCGUUCAGCUGACAAAGAAGCUACUCAUGGACUCUAAGCCUCAGCUUUACCUGUUAGACAUCAUUAGAUAUAUAACCACGUGAUACCGACUUUUCCCCUCCUGUUUAAUGCAUAGGAAAGCACAGCACAUAUGCACUGGAUUUCAUGAACAAAGGCUGUUUGUGCAUUCUAUACCCUGACAUGCAGCAAGGCUGUCAUCCCAUCACCAAGACACUCCUGUGUCCCCCACACUUGGACUAUUGGUAGAGAGUGGCGAGGUGGCUGCAGGACACCAGGAUCGCUCACGUGGCUUGUAGGUUGUCACCUGUCCAUAUCUGAGAAGCAAGGAGCAAGCCACGAACUUCCAUCUUCAUCAUCUCUUAGGGGCAGAACAUGCA